Molecule: non-coding RNA, 112 nt
Organism: Acanthosepion pharaonis
Lineage: Eukaryota; Metazoa; Mollusca; Cephalopoda; Sepiida; Sepiidae
Source: the annotation of a GenBank genome assembly
UUACAGCCAUAUCAUGUUGAAACAUCGGUUCCAGUACGAUCACCGAAGUUAAGCAACGUCGUGCCUGGCCAGUACUUAGAUGAGUGUCCGCUUGGAAAUUGCAGGCAGUGUA